Molecule: ribosomal RNA, 254 nt
Filed under: uncultured bacterium
Lineage: Bacteria
Description: partial 16S ribosomal RNA
Rfam family: Bacterial small subunit ribosomal RNA
Source: RNAcentral
UACGGAGGGUGCGAGCGUUGUCCGGAAUCACUGGGCGUAAAGGGCGCGUAGGUGGCCUGUGGAAGUCUGCGGUGAAAGCCCGGCGCUCAACGCCGGGUCUGCCGUGGAUACUCUCGGGCUUGAGCUUACUAGAGGCAGAUGGAAUUCCGGGUGUAGCGGUGGAAUGCGUAGAGAUCCGGAAGAACACCGGUGGCGAAGGCGGUCUGCUGGGGUAAUGCUGACACUGAGGCGCGACAGCGUGGGGAGCAAACAGG